ACGGGAGGCUCGAGCAGAGGCAGUGCUAGGGCAAUGGGAGUUGCUGGGCCGUCUGGGCGCCUGGGCUAACUUCUCUUCGGGGUGGGCUAAUGGGCCAAAAAGCCUUUUUAUACUAUUUUUAUGAAGAACUUUUCCACUGCUCUUGGGCCUCGCCCCGGGCUGCAGCCCGGGCAACCCGGGGCCCAGAUCCGCCCCUGCUUGAUGGUAAAAGCGAGAAAAAAAAGAUGCAGAUUUAACAUGUUCGGGCCACCAGAAUAGCGUAAUACUCUACGUCCUGAUUGGGGUGUUGUAUAUUGCGCCCUACACUUGGGUGUUGUUUGGUGUUGGUUAUGGUCCUAUCUUGAUCUGCCGAUCUAGUUACCUCUAUCAUCCUUUAUACAUCCCAGGGAUAGGAUUAUUGGUCGGUUACAUGCGGGAGUCCUAGUAGAAUUGCAGGAAAGUCCUAGUAGGAGUCUAGCUUCUUCCUCCCUUACAGAUACUGGAGAUCUAUCCCGACAAUGAGUGACUUAGCGGUCGUUGUUUGCUUCAAGGGUGUUCUUGGGCAACGAUACCAUUGUUUCUUUUGUGUUAUCCGCUGUGUAGUUUUGCUCUUUUCAUGCUUGAACCUUAAUUC
RNAcentral lists this long non-coding RNA (613 nucleotides) under Setaria viridis. Its description in RNAcentral is "long non-coding RNA (SVIR_LNC000752)". The record is from RNAcentral. Lineage: Eukaryota; Viridiplantae; Streptophyta; Magnoliopsida; Poales; Poaceae.